Molecule: non-coding RNA, 77 nt
Filed under: human gut metagenome
Description: TPP riboswitch (THI element)
Rfam family: TPP riboswitch aptamer (THI element)
About the family: Vitamin B(1) in its active form thiamin pyrophosphate (TPP) is an essential coenzyme that is synthesised by coupling of pyrimidine and thiazole moieties in bacteria.
Source: RNAcentral
AAUAAGGGGUGCUACGUCAGUGGCUGAGAACAAACCCUUUGAACCUGAUUGGGGUAAUGCCCACGGAGGAAUAAUUU